UACUGUUCGACGGCGGUAAAGUCGAACUAGACUUCCGGGAAAGCUGUUAGUACAGCUCAGGGAAGCUAGCGUCAAAAUUUUAUGAUUUUUUUCAUUAUGUAUUUGGCAACGAUACAGGUAAUCGAUGUCCACUGAUCCGUAAGUAUUUUAGCAAAUAUUUCUUUGUGGUGGAAGUUUGCCGUCGUGGUGAAGAGGGAUAAUGAGGAUAAAAUGCCUACUGCUCAAGUUAGCUUGCUGAAUUUAAGUUGUCGUUGACAAUAACUCAGCUGGAACGGUUAUUAGCUGAACUGUUAGCCACCUUUAUUUUAUUUUAAAGCAAAAUGAUGUGGAGCAAUGUGAAGUAUUUAGAAUGUCUGCUAAGUGGCUGUAAAUAUUUAUUUUUCCAUACGUAGGAUUUUUGGGUGUAAAUAUAAAAGCUAUUGUAGCUCAUUCGUUAAGCAGUGUGACGAAGCAUACAGAUUGUUAUCUGCCAAGUAACUGAGACCUCCUCUGAGUGAGUAAUAGAGAAUAGUGUACAUUAAAAGCUGAUUCAUUGAUUAAAUCAGCUGAAUUGGUAACGUCCAUCGGUACGAUGCUUAUGUUACUCAUUGCAAAGAUGCAGCAGUAUGAUGAACAGUGCGGCGAGCGGAAUAAUGCGCGUGCUGUGCGUCAGUGCGCUGCAGGAGAGCUGAACGGGGGAGUGGCCGCGUCUGAGUGCUGCGGGACGAGCUUGGACUCCUCACGAGGAAGAGUUGCACGUGGAGGGUGAGGGAUUUGAAGAUGUGGAGGACGAGAGGGACCCAACGGCCCAUCAUCUUGCAGCACCAUCAGGUAAUUCACCCACCCACCCACGCUGCAGCCCUGAGGCCUGUCCCCAGUACCUCCACCAAACAAAGCACUCCUCCCCAGUCUGCCACUGUUGCUCCACCUGGGACAGACCCUCAGUUCUUUCCAAUGGUCCACACCCCAUUUCUCUCUCGCCAGGUUUUAUUUUUUCCUAAAGGCCCAAGACUGCACUGGGUUUCAGACUGCACAGCCAAACACUGCACUGAAAACUCCAUCCUUUUUACGAGCCGCUUUCUUCUUCUGUGUCUGUCAGCGCAGUGUGUCACAGGGGCGGGGUGUUCUGGUGGGAGGAGUCCUGACAGCCUGCAGUGACGCAGAGUUGGAAUAUAUGGAGAAAAUGUAAAUGGCGUGCGCUGAUUUGUCACUGUGGCUGUUUGAAGUGUUCCUGCAGUGCUCUUAUAAGGCAGCAGUGAGUGUGAUUGGUGGGGGGGAAAGAGUGUGCUCUCUCAGAGGGGGGCCGGGCGUGUGCACAGGGCUCAGUCUCUCUCAGAGCUCAGAGGUGAAGGUGUGAGCAUCCACUCUGCUCUGAGGAAGGUUUGGUUUGUUUGCGCUGAAGAUGGGGAGAUGUCUGUUCUUUCUCUCUCUCUCCUCCCUGCUCCUGCUCUCCACAGUCAGUGAGUACCAGCUUUAUCCUCCUCUCCAGCUUCUCCACACCCAGUCGGGGCUCAGAAACUGGGGGUCGGGGUCGGGGCCAAGGGGUCAGAGGGGCAGCUCUCCAGCCAGGGCAGGGCUCCAGGCCGUCUCUAAACACCAGAGUUUACUGUAGUAAUAUUUCUCUGCAUCAUUCAUGAAGCUUUCAUGAAAGUAAUUUUAUUAUUAAUUAUUUAGGAAAUGUUUCUGUAUUUGAUUCACUGGUAUAUAAAACAUGAUAUUUGAAUAAUCCAGCCAGGAUAAAGUUUUUUGUUUGAUCAUGUUCAUGUUUUAGUAAAUAUAAAUAUAUGUGAAUAUAAAGAUUUUUUUCAAAUGUU
Anguilla anguilla (European eel) is the source of this 1793-nucleotide long non-coding RNA. RefSeq lists it as uncharacterized. The record is from RefSeq and is a predicted model, not a curated record. The transcript has 2 exons. NCBI's taxonomy places the organism in Eukaryota, Metazoa, Chordata, Actinopteri, Anguilliformes, Anguillidae.